Long non-coding RNA from Capsicum annuum, 747 nucleotides. RefSeq lists it as uncharacterized. The transcript is spliced from 2 exons. The record is from RefSeq and is marked validated. Lineage: Eukaryota; Viridiplantae; Streptophyta; Magnoliopsida; Solanales; Solanaceae.
AAAAAAAAUAGGAGAGAGUGUAAUUACUUCCAAAAGGGUUGGGUAUUUAUGUCAUUUAUACUUUCAGUAAUUACGCAAAAUAUCAGAAUUUUCUGUAAUUAAGCUACAAACUGUCGAAAUUUAUGUUGUUGGGCCUUAUACUAAUUUUCAGCUAAAGCCCAACUGGAUUGGGCCGGCCCAUGGGCUCUAAAUAUAGAAACAAAUUGUUUUCUUUGUGAAAAUAUAAAUAGGAAAAUUUUAGUAUAAUUAGUUUUCUUUUCAUUUUGUGUCUCUCUCUCUGCGUUCGGCACUCUUUCGAGAUCUUCUUCUUAGGAGAAAGCUGUACGCAGAGAGAAAUGGCAAUGAGAUCUAGUAGUUUGCUGUUUGUUUUUGUUGUAGUUGUAGUUCUUUUCUCGGUUUUUGUGCCAGGGAUUCAGGCACAAAAGGGAUUUGCUCCCGCACCUGCUCCUGCCAGCGACGGUACAACAAUUGACCAAGGGAUUGCAUGUGUAUUGAUGUUGUUGGCCUUAGCAGUGACAUACCUUGUUCAUGUUGUUGAUGUUCCUUUUUAAUCAGCUUACAUUAACUUGAAUUUAAGUGCCUAGGUUUAUGGCAUAUUUUCAAUUUUGAAAAUGUAGUUGUUUUUAUGCCUAGGAUACUUUAAUGUAAUCUCGAUCUGUAUUUAGGAACAAUUUAACUUUGACGAUGAGCAAAUCUUUUUUGAGGUUCCAACAAUAUUUAUAUAACUCGGUGUUAAGUCUUUUGUUA